RNAcentral lists this ribosomal RNA (1556 nucleotides) under Salmonella enterica subsp. enterica serovar Typhimurium str. USDA-ARS-USMARC-1896. Its description in RNAcentral is "bacterial SSU rRNA". It matches the Rfam family "Bacterial small subunit ribosomal RNA". RNAcentral also lists the same sequence under 1 other name. Lineage: Bacteria; Pseudomonadati; Pseudomonadota; Gammaproteobacteria; Enterobacterales; Enterobacteriaceae. The record is from RNAcentral.
UUAAAUUGAAGAGUUUGAUCAUGGCUCAGAUUGAACGCUGGCGGCAGGCCUAACACAUGCAAGUCGAACGGUAACAGGAAGCAGCUUGCUGCUUCGCUGACGAGUGGCGGACGGGUGAGUAAUGUCUGGGAAACUGCCUGAUGGAGGGGGAUAACUACUGGAAACGGUGGCUAAUACCGCAUAACGUCGCAAGACCAAAGAGGGGGACCUUCGGGCCUCUUGCCAUCAGAUGUGCCCAGAUGGGAUUAGCUAGUUGGUGAGGUAACGGCUCACCAAGGCGACGAUCCCUAGCUGGUCUGAGAGGAUGACCAGCCACACUGGAACUGAGACACGGUCCAGACUCCUACGGGAGGCAGCAGUGGGGAAUAUUGCACAAUGGGCGCAAGCCUGAUGCAGCCAUGCCGCGUGUAUGAAGAAGGCCUUCGGGUUGUAAAGUACUUUCAGCGGGGAGGAAGGUGUUGUGGUUAAUAACCGCAGCAAUUGACGUUACCCGCAGAAGAAGCACCGGCUAACUCCGUGCCAGCAGCCGCGGUAAUACGGAGGGUGCAAGCGUUAAUCGGAAUUACUGGGCGUAAAGCGCACGCAGGCGGUCUGUCAAGUCGGAUGUGAAAUCCCCGGGCUCAACCUGGGAACUGCAUUCGAAACUGGCAGGCUUGAGUCUUGUAGAGGGGGGUAGAAUUCCAGGUGUAGCGGUGAAAUGCGUAGAGAUCUGGAGGAAUACCGGUGGCGAAGGCGGCCCCCUGGACAAAGACUGACGCUCAGGUGCGAAAGCGUGGGGAGCAAACAGGAUUAGAUACCCUGGUAGUCCACGCCGUAAACGAUGUCUACUUGGAGGUUGUGCCCUUGAGGCGUGGCUUCCGGAGCUAACGCGUUAAGUAGACCGCCUGGGGAGUACGGCCGCAAGGUUAAAACUCAAAUGAAUUGACGGGGGCCCGCACAAGCGGUGGAGCAUGUGGUUUAAUUCGAUGCAACGCGAAGAACCUUACCUGGUCUUGACAUCCACAGAAGAAUCCAGAGAUGGAUUUGUGCCUUCCGGAACUGUGAGACAGGUGCUGCAUGGCUGUCGUCAGCUCGUGUUGUGAAAUGUUGGGUUAAGUCCCGCAACGAGCGCAACCCUUAUCCUUUGUUGCCAGCGGUUAGGCCGGGAACUCAAAGGAGACUGCCAGUGAUAAACUGGAGGAAGGUGGGGAUGACGUCAAGUCAUCAUGGCCCUUACGACCAGGGCUACACACGUGCUACAAUGGCGCAUACAAAGAGAAGCGACCUCGCGAGAGCAAGCGGACCUCAUAAAGUGCGUCGUAGUCCGGAUUGGAGUCUGCAACUCGACUCCAUGAAGUCGGAAUCGCUAGUAAUCGUGGAUCAGAAUGCCACGGUGAAUACGUUCCCGGGCCUUGUACACACCGCCCGUCACACCAUGGGAGUGGGUUGCAAAAGAAGUAGGUAGCUUAACCUUCGGGAGGGCGCUUACCACUUUGUGAUUCAUGACUGGGGUGAAGUCGUAACAAGGUAACCGUAGGGGAACCUGCGGUUGGAUCACCUCCUUACCUUAAAGAAGC